This 212-nucleotide ribosomal RNA is filed under the name uncultured bacterium. RNAcentral's name for it is "partial 16S ribosomal RNA". It matches the Rfam family "Bacterial small subunit ribosomal RNA", at positions 524 to 734 of the family's 1533-position model. The record is from RNAcentral.
UACGUAGGGUGCAAGCGUUGUCCGGAAUUAUUGGGCGUAAAGAGCUCGUAGGCGGCUUGUCGCGUCGGCUGUGAAAACCUGGGGCUCAACCCCGGGCCUGCAGCCGAUACGGGCAAGCUAGAAUUCGGUAGGGGAGACGUGGAAUUCCUGGUGUAGCGGUGAAAUGCGCAGAUAUCAGGAGGAACACCGGUGGCGAAGGCGGGUCUCUGGGC